Long non-coding RNA from Melanotaenia boesemani (Boeseman's rainbowfish), 428 nucleotides. RefSeq lists it as uncharacterized. Lineage: Eukaryota; Metazoa; Chordata; Actinopteri; Atheriniformes; Melanotaeniidae. The record is from RefSeq and is a predicted model, not a curated record. The transcript has 3 exons.
GCAUUGAACAUGAUGUUGUUUCUACUGAGAUUUCUUCCUUGGAGAAAUGUUCAGUUUGCCUGGGACCAUUUUCCCCUUUAAAAUGGAGGGGACUCAAAUGUGUAGAUUGCACAACUACAUGGCAUGUACAUUGUUUCCUCGCAAAAGAGAAAAGACAAAAGCAGCAGAAUGAAUGUGACACAUCAGAAGAAGAAUCCGAUAAAGAGCAGGAUCCAGAUUAUGUUCCAGAAUCAGCAACAGAUACAGAAAAAGAAGAAGAAAAGUAUGAAGAAGAAGGCAUCACCAUCCUGAAAAACUCAGAAGUUACAAUUGUUAAAGAUCCAUCAAUUUUAGACUUGGAUACAGGUGACACCAAUGACGCCCCUGUAAAAGCAACACAUGCAAAAUCUUUGAACAUAGAUCCUAAAAAGACUCUAGUUGGAAGGAAA